CGGAAGAACAGCAGCUCUAAUACAGUUUGCGAAUGACGGUCCUGAAGAAUAAGCACCGGCUAACUACGUGCCAGCAGCCGCGGUAAUACGUAGGGUGCAAGCGUUAAUCGGAAUUACUGGGCGUAAAGCGUGCGCAGGCGGUUAUGUAAGACAGGCGUGAAAUCCCCGGGCUUAACCUGGGAAUUGCGCUUGUGACAGCAUAGCUAGAGUGUGUCAGAGGGGGGUAGAAUUCCACGUGUAGCAGUGAAAUGCGUAGAUAUGUGGAGGAAUACCAAUGGCGAAGGCAGCCCCCUGGGAUAACACUGACGCUCAUGCACGAAAGCGUGGGGAGCAAACAGGAUUAGAUACCCUGGUAGUCCACGCCCUAAACGAUGCUGACUAGUUGUUCGGGAAUUUAUUCCUGAGUAACGUAGCUAACGCGUGAAGUCA
Molecule: ribosomal RNA, 429 nt
Filed under: uncultured bacterium
Lineage: Bacteria
Description: bacterial SSU rRNA
Rfam family: Bacterial small subunit ribosomal RNA
Source: RNAcentral